Molecule: ribosomal RNA, 368 nt
Filed under: uncultured organism
Description: bacterial SSU rRNA
Rfam family: Bacterial small subunit ribosomal RNA
Source: RNAcentral
CGGAGGGUGCAAGCGUUAUCCGGAAUCAUUGGGUUUAAAGGGUCCGCAGGCGGAAGUAUAAGUCAGUGGUGAAAGCCUACAGCUCAACUGUAGAACUGCCAUUGAUACUGUACUUCUUGAAUUUGGUCGAAGUGGGCGGAAUAUGACAUGUAGCGGUGAAAUGCUUAGAUAUGUCAUAGAACACCGAUAGCGAAGGCAGCUCACUAGUCCAGUAUUGACGCUCAUGGACGAAAGCGUGGGGAGCAAACAGGAUUAGAUACCCUGGUAGUCCACGCCGUAAACUAUCAAUACUCGUUUUCAGCGAUAUACUGUUGGAGACUAAGCGAGAGUGAUAAGUAUUGCACCUGGGGAGUACGAUCGCAAGGUUG